RNAcentral lists this small RNA (2044 nucleotides) under Pongo abelii (Sumatran orangutan). RNAcentral describes it as "retained intron". The record is from RNAcentral. Lineage: Eukaryota; Metazoa; Chordata; Mammalia; Primates; Hominidae.
GUUGCCAUGGAUCCUGCAGACGACUGGCUGGUGGACUCCUUGCGCUUGUAAAUCGUACCAGGAUUUCUAUGCAUUCGACCUCUCAGGAGCGACUCGAGUCCUUGAAUGGAUUGAUGACAAAGGAGUCUUUGUUGCUGGCUAUGAAAGCCUGAAAAAGAAUGAAAUUCUUCAUCUGAAAUUACCUCUCAGACUUUCUGUAAACGAAAACAAGGGCUUAUUCCCAGAAAGAGAUUUCAAAGUGCGCCAUGGAGGAUUUUCAGACAGGUCUAUCUUUGAUCUAAAGCACGUGCCACAUACCAGAUUGUUGGUUACCAGUGGCCUUCCAGGUUGUUACCUGCAGGUGUGGCAGGUUGCAGAGGACAGUGAUGUCAUUAAAGCUGUCAGCACCAUUACUGUGCACGAGAAAGAGGAGAGUCUCUGGCCUAGGGUGGCCGUCUUCUCCGCAGUGGCACCCAGAGUCCUCCAUGGGGCGAGGCUCCGCAGUCUGCAGGUCGUUGAUCUGGAGUCCCGGAAGACCACGUACACCUCAGGUACCGUGGUACUUUGCCCCUUGCUCACUGCUCCAGCCGGCAUCACCCCCCAGCCCAACUCAGCCACUAUAGAAACUGAGUUCAACCCUCUGUGCCAGGUGUUGGGGAUACACGGUGAAUAAGAGGUGAGCCCUGGCCUCUAAGGGCUCCUAUGCUGGGGCAGGAUUAGGCAGUCCCAGGGACCAGCACCCAACCAGCUGAGCAGAUAAUGAUGUCAGUGACAGUGAGGAGCUGAGUAGCCUGCAGGUCCUAGAUGCAGACACCUUUGCCUUCUGCUGUGCUUCAGGCCAGCUGGGGCUUGUUGACACCCGCCAGAAGUGGGCACCGUUGGAGAAUCGCAGCCCUGGCCCUGGGUCUGGUGGAGAGAGAUGGUGUGCUGAAGUUGGGAGCUGGGGCCAGGGCCCUGGGCCCAGCAUUGCCAGCCUUGGCUCAGAUGGGCGUCUUUGUCUUCUUGAUCCCCGGGAUCUCUGCCAUCCUGUGAGCUCAGUCCAGUGCCCAGUAUCCAUACCUAGCCCUGACCCAGAGCUGCUGCGAGUGACUUGGGCCCCAGGCCUGAAGAAUUGCUUGGCCAUCUCAGGUUUUGAUGGUACAGUCCAGGUCUAUGAUGCCACAUCUUGGGAUGGAACACGGAGCCAAGUAGAACCUCUCUUCACUCACAGAGGUCACAUCUUCCUAGAUGGAAACGGGAUGGACCCUGCUCCUUUGGUCACCACCCACACCUGGCAUCCCUGCAGACCAAAGACUUUGUUAUCAGCAACAAAUGAUGCCUCUCUGCAUGUGUGGGACUGGGUGGACCUUCGUGCCCCCCACUGACACCAGCAUCUUUUCAUCCUGGCCUCUAGAAAGGGGAGGAGCUGCUGUAGUAGCAAAGGUACUGAUGUAGGACUCAAGUGACUGCCAGUCCCUGUUACCAGCUGUGUGGCCUUGGGCAAGUCCACCAGCGUCACUUAGCCUCAGUUUCCUUAUCUGUAAAAUGAGGAUAGUAAGAACUACCUCGUAGUGAUAUUGCGAAGGUUAGAAGAAACGCAUGGCUUAAUUACUUGGUAGCUAUUGUUAGAUCUGGGAGUGUAAAAUGGCAGCGUUUUGUCCCUGUCUUCACACUAUCAUAGGAAGAAUCAAAAGAGCUAACAAAUAUAAACGUGCUUUGUGAAUUUUUUUAAAGAAAAAAAUGUAGAGGGGCCAAUAAACAUGAAAAAAAUCCCAGCCCUAGUAGCAAUUAAGGAAAUAGCAAAACAAGAUUUCUGCUCCUCUUGAGUGGUUCUCAUGGGAACACAGGUGUACUUUCCCACACUUGUCCCCCCAGGUGACUAGGUUCAAGAGACAUUUGCUUUUGAUGGCCCCACAAACAUUUCCUUUUGAGGGCCCAUAGUGAAUAUUAAAGUGUGCUGGACAUGGUGACUCAUGCCUGUAAUCCCAGCACUUUCAGAGGCUGAGGUGGGCAGAUUGCUUGAGCUGAGGAGUUUGAGACCAGCCUGGGCAACAUAGCAAGAUCCCCCUUCCCUUAAAAAAAAAAU